This 447-nucleotide ribosomal RNA is filed under the name uncultured bacterium. RNAcentral describes it as "bacterial SSU rRNA". It matches the Rfam family "Bacterial small subunit ribosomal RNA", at positions 330 to 794 of the family's 1533-position model. The record is from RNAcentral.
GCCAGACUCCUACGGGAGGCAGCAGUGGGGAAUAUUGCACAAUGGGGGAAACCCUGAUGCAGCGACGCCGCGUGAGCGAUGAAGUAUUUCGGUAUGUAAAGCUCUAUCAGCAGGGAAGAAAAUGACGGUACCUGACUAAGAAGCCCCGGCUAACUACGUGCCAGCAGCCGCGGUAAUACGUAGGGGGCAAGCGUUAUCCGGAUUUACUGGGUGUAAAGGGAGCGUAGACGGCAUGGCAAGCCAGAUGUGAAAUACCGGGGCUCAACCCCGGGACUGCAUUUGGAACUGUUAAGCUGGAGUGUCGGAGAGGCAGGCGGAAUUCCUGGUGUAGCGGUGAAAUGCGUAGAUAUCAGGAGGAACACCGGCGGCGAAGGCGGCCUGCUGGACCGCGACUGACGUUGAGGCUCGAAAGCGUGGGGAGCAAACAGGAUUAGAUACCCCUGUAAC